AUACGGAGGAUGCAAGCGUUAUCCGGAUUUAUUGGGUUUAAAGGGUUCGUAGGCGGAAAAUUAAGUCAGUGGUGAAAGCCUGCAGCUCAACUGCAGAACUGCCAUUGAUACUGAUUUUCUUGAAUUUAUAUGAAGUGGGCGGAAUGCGUCAUGUAGCGGUGAAAUGCACAGAUAUGACGCAGAACACCAAUUGCGAAGGCAGCUCACUAAUGUAAUAUUGACGCUGAGGAACGAAAGCGUGGGGAGCAAACAGGAUUAGAAACCCUAGUAGUCC
This 274-nucleotide ribosomal RNA is filed under the name uncultured bacterium. RNAcentral's name for it is "partial 16S ribosomal RNA". It matches the Rfam family "Bacterial small subunit ribosomal RNA", at positions 523 to 796 of the family's 1533-position model. The record is from RNAcentral.